GUCCACGCCGUAAACGAUGAGAACUAGAUGUCGGGAGGAAUUGCCUUUCGGUGUCGCAGCUAACGCGUUAAGUUCUCCGCCUGGGGAGUACGCCGGCAACGGUAAAACUCAAAGGAAUUGACGGGGACCCGCACAAGCGGUGGAGCAUGUGGUUUAAUUCGAUGCAACGCGAAGAACCUUACCUGCCCUUGACAUCCUCGGAACUUGUCAGAGAUGACUUGGUGCCUUCGGGAACCGAGUGAC
This 243-nucleotide ribosomal RNA is filed under the name uncultured bacterium. RNAcentral describes it as "partial 16S ribosomal RNA". It matches the Rfam family "Bacterial small subunit ribosomal RNA", at positions 793 to 1035 of the family's 1533-position model. The record is from RNAcentral.